GUGGGGAAUAUUGCGCAAUGGGGGAAACCCUGACGCAGCGACGCCGUGUGAGGGAAGAAGGCUUUCGGGUCGUAAACCUCUGUCGGGAAGGAAGAACCCCCCGGGUCCGAAUAGGGCCUGGGGCUGACGGUACUUCCAGAGGAAGCACCGGCUAACUCCGUGCCAGCAGCCGCGGUAAUACGGAGGGUGCAAGCGUUAAUCGGAAUCACUGGGCGUAAAGCGCGCGUAGGCGGCUUUUUAAGUCGGACGUGAAAGCCCUCGGCUCAACCGGGGAAUUGCGUUCGAUACUGGGAAGCUUGAGUCCUGGAGAGGGUGGCGGAAUUCCGGGUGUAGGAGUGAAAUCCGUAGAUAUCCGGAGGAACACCGGUGGCGAAGGCGGCCACCUGGACAGGUACUGACGCUGAGGCGCGAAAGCGUGGGGAGCAAACAGGAUUAGAAACCCCUGUAGUCC
RNAcentral lists this ribosomal RNA (451 nucleotides) under uncultured bacterium. RNAcentral describes it as "partial 16S ribosomal RNA". It matches the Rfam family "Bacterial small subunit ribosomal RNA", at positions 354 to 796 of the family's 1533-position model. The record is from RNAcentral.